This 2252-nucleotide long non-coding RNA is filed under the name Volvox carteri. RNAcentral describes it as "long non-coding RNA (VCAR_LNC001487)". The record is from RNAcentral. Lineage: Eukaryota; Viridiplantae; Chlorophyta; Chlorophyceae; Chlamydomonadales; Volvocaceae.
AUCUUUUGAGGGCCUCCUGUGAUCGACAGUGUGACUUCGGUAUUAUAGCCGGCAGCGAGCUUGGAAAAGUCGCUUUACGGCUCCUAAUCAGAACGUUCUUAAUCAGAACAUUGUAAGGUUCUUUUGAGCUAGACAAUAAGCCCUGUGCGGUCCUUCCUUGUAUCAACCGCAUAAGUAACGUCCCUUAACCAGCCGAACUCCUGUGUGGGCCGCUCAACGCCCAUAUCCUUCACGCCGGGCAAACUCAGUCGGUAAGGUAAAUCCCCUAUCGCUGUUGAUUGAUUGCCUGGAGGGAAUCUUGGCCCCUUUCGCGGGUUGCUAGUUGCUGCGUAUUACGACUUGCCCGUUCUUGUGCCGUCUAGUCAGCAUCCAAGCUACCUGCAGGACUUCGCCAAGCCACCCUGCGUCCUUAGCCGUAAUGCCUAAAUCAGGCUAGAAGACCAAGUAAGUUCGGUUUUGGGUUUACCUUAGGUGUUCUGUCGCCUAGGGGAUAUUUUCCCAGCACCCUUUUUGGUAGGUUAGGUAGGCUAUGGGUCACGCCAGCCGCACCUGUCAGCAGUGUUACGCACAGCUGCCUUACCAAUCAGCAAUUUUGGGCCAUUUCCUUACUGGUUCGAUUUGCUUGCGUAUUCGGUCACUCUUACAAUCGAUACUGUGUUACGCACAGCCGUCUGUUGAACACUCGAUCCCGAAUACUUGAUACGAUCAACUCAUUUUACCAUCUAGGCUUGGUCAGCCCAGCCUAACAUUAUUCUUAUAUAAGACUUUCAGCUCACCUGAACAGCAGGUUCGAGCUUUUCUGUGCUUAACCAACAUUUCGCGUACCUCUGGCCGAAUUAUACGGGGUCACACCAAUUCUUUUGCUUUCACCAGCCUCAAUUCGCUACUGCAGUUUACAUCGAGGCAGUGAUACCCCAGGCCACUCAGAGGACGCCCGGGGCGCAGUCCCUUUGGUUUUCACACCAACACUUUUCUUCGCCGUGGUGUUCGGGCCACUCCAGUCAGACACCGGCACCAUCGGCUGAUUCCACAUAUCUUCGAGCCUCUUGGCAAAUCUCCUGAACUCAUUUAUAUAGGUCUUUUGGCUCGCGGCGUUAGGGUCGACAUCGAGCCGCGACCGGUCAUUUGCAAUAUCCGCUACCUGUUAGCUGUGCAGCUAUAUCCGGACCUGGACCAGCUUCCCAGGCAAACUAUUGUUAUCAGCACAACAGGUGGUGCAAUUUCCUCUAUUUGAAUACGGAGACUUCUGUGCGCCUAAGCGCAAUGAUAUGAUGGAGUAAACGCUGCAAGCUUAUCGAGUCGGUACUCUACUCUUUCCCGACGCAGCGUUACCAAUUAUUCCAGCUGUUUUCACGCAGGUACUCUUUAUUUUGCAGCACCACACAACGCAGUUUUACAGCGACACCAGCUUUGGUGGGGCGGGGUUAGUACAUGCCAAAUACAGAAGUACGGAGGGCCCUAUGCCAACCACGGAUAUCACACCAGGACGAGACAGUCCGAGUUUUGGCCAUUCCAGCACAGAAUGCAGAGUCAGACAACAGGUACCAACUAAGCUUUAUUAAGACGGAUUACAGAAAAUAGACGACGAGAAAGACUAGAAAAAGUCGAGGUCGAAAUCGCUUGACGAGUGAUGUUAGAUUGCCUUUAUCUUUGGUUUUGCCUACAAUAGGACGCCGUCUCUUAUAUAUGAGAAGACAACAACAACGGCGACGCGCAGAUCGACAUUGCGGGCCAACGGCAUCCAUGCAAGUAAGUGAAGCGCGCGGGCACUGCGCGGGUGGUUGGGUUGGUUCGGCCUUGAGUAGAGGCACCUGAAUAGUGGGUUCUGUUGCUUGUCGGUGGGCGGGGGAAUUCUAGUUGGGUUCGCGAGGUCCGUAGGUCAGUAGGAAAGGUGGUUUUAUCUCGGCCUCCCGCAGUUGGCGAGGCUUUAGCUGGGAGUCCGUUUUGCCGGGAGUAGCUCUUGGUUGGCAAGAGGUUGCGAGGGGCUUGAUCGGCGCCCUUUGUCUUGAGUUCGCCUGAUUUACCCUGGUAUCCUCGCGAGUCGCCAGAUAGCCCGGUGCAGGAUACUUACCAACAUAACAGCUACCCUACGUGCGAAGGCGUAAAGAACAAUGAGCAAGACAGGCAUACAGGAUGGCGUCAAGAAAUCCGCAAGCAAACGAAAGUUGAAGUCAAGACGCGUGGACGGACCCGGAGCCUUCGGACGUGUGGACGGACUACAGCUACAUCAUAAAGCCGCCGCGGCGGUCNNN